GUCAGAAUGGCUGAGUGGUCUAAGGUGCCAGUCUCAAAAGAUGGAGGCGUGGGUUCAAAUCCCACUUCUGACA
Danio rerio (zebrafish) is the source of this 73-nucleotide non-coding RNA. The record is from the annotation of a RefSeq genome assembly. NCBI's taxonomy places the organism in Eukaryota, Metazoa, Chordata, Actinopteri, Cypriniformes, Danionidae.